Molecule: long non-coding RNA, 224 nt
Filed under: Panax ginseng (ginseng)
Lineage: Eukaryota; Viridiplantae; Streptophyta; Magnoliopsida; Apiales; Araliaceae
Description: long non-coding RNA (PGIN_LNC001965)
Source: RNAcentral
CGAAAGAUAAAACUGUAAUGUACAAUAACUUGCAAUGACCGGUCCCUUCGGGCGGUAUGUCGUCAUCAGUGAAGGAUAUCACAUUGUUGUUGAAAAUGUGAUCAACUAGAUGUUGAAAUUUUUCCACGUCCACUGAUUUUGGCAAAUAGGCUUCUUCCAAAACCUUUAAUAAGAUCUUCCAAUGAUCAUCGGAAGAUAAAACCAAGUCCAGUAUUGAUAUCUGG